RNAcentral lists this long non-coding RNA (546 nucleotides) under Homo sapiens (human). RNAcentral's name for it is "non-protein coding STARD13-AS:39". Lineage: Eukaryota; Metazoa; Chordata; Mammalia; Primates; Hominidae. The record is from RNAcentral.
GGAGACUCUAAGACUUCUGAAGAGUUUCUUGCUUCUUUCCUGUGGGGCAGUGACUCCACUUCCCAGCAGUAAUGGAAUAUCCUGAAUUAGCUACAUUAAUGUUAGAACCAUUUGGACCUCACCCAGGACUUCAACUACAUUAUGAAGGCACAAGGCAAAUACCCAUCUCUGUACACCCUGUGCUACUGUGUCAUGUGCUGCUCCAGGCAACUCCAAUGGAUUGGCCACCCUGGCCAAUGUGUUCUAGUAUGUUACGUUUAUGUUCCCCUGCUUUCUACAAUCCUGUUCAAAGAGUUGCUGACUUAACCACAGAGAGGAUUCCAGAACCUGAGACACAGAAUAAACUUGAGCAAUCAUAGUCCAUCCACUUCAUUGUCUCAUCAAAAACCAAAGGUCCAGUGAAGCUCUGGAACUCAACGCUGUAAAGGAGCGAAGGAGCUUCUAUACAGAGCCUGGAUGCCUGUCUCCUUAUCCUACUUCAGUGGACUUGACUGCAAUCCGGAUUAUGCUGUUUUCUAAGCAUUUAAAAUAAAAUAAAAAGUAUAA